GUGAAGGAUGACGGCCUCUGGGUUGUAAACUUCUUUUAUCUGGGACGAAAAAGAUCAUUCCUGAUCACUUGACGGUACCAGAGGAAUAAGCACCGGCUAACUCCGUGCCAGCAGCCGCGGUAAUACGGAGGGUGCAAGCGUUAUCCGGAUUUACUGGGUUUAAAGGGUGCGUAGGUGGGUCUGUAAGUCAGUGGUGAAAUCUCCGAGCUUAACUCGGAAACUGCCAUUGAUACUAUAGGUCUUGAAUUAUCUGGAGGUAAGCGGAACACGUCAUGUAGCGGUGAAAUGCUUAGAUAUGACAUAGAACACCAAUUGCGAAGGCAGCUUACUACGGAUCGAUUGACACUGAGGCACGAAAGCGUGGGGAUCAAACAGGAUUAGAUACCCUGGUAGUCCACGCCCUAAACGAUGGAUACUCGACAUUUGCGAUAUACUGUAAGUGUCUGAGCGAAAGCAUUAAGUAUCCCACCUGGGAAGUACGAUCGCAAGAUUG
RNAcentral lists this ribosomal RNA (493 nucleotides) under uncultured Bacteroidota bacterium. RNAcentral's name for it is "bacterial SSU rRNA". It matches the Rfam family "Bacterial small subunit ribosomal RNA", at positions 401 to 896 of the family's 1533-position model. The record is from RNAcentral. Lineage: Bacteria; Pseudomonadati; Bacteroidota.